GGGAGAAAAAACUCAAAGCUCCAAUGUCAUUGAAAUGGUUUACCAGACAGACUAAAACAGAAAAAAGUCACAAGGUUCUACAUCAUUAAUAAUUUUAACUCGGGCCAAAACUCAAGAGCACAAAGCAAUAGAAGAUAAAUCUAAAUGCAUUAGAAUCCCCUGAAGAUAACAAGUACACAAAACCCGAAGUAAAAAGAGCUCCCUUCACUUCUUCUUCCCACCCUUGGCAGCAUCUCCAGCUUUGGUCUUUUUCACUCCACGGAUUUUCUUGGUCCUAUUCUUUCUUUCCUUCAUUUGCUUCCUCGACUUCUCAACCUUUGUGGCCAGUCCAUUCCUGAUGAGCCGAUACUUGGGCUCAUAUUUCUUGGCGCUCUCAACGUUGUCGUAGAUCAGGCCGAAUCCAGUCGACUUUCCGCCUCCGAAGUGAGUGCGGAACUUGAAAACAAAGAUCGAGUUCUGAUCCUUGACCUCGUAGAUCGAGGCCAGCUUCCCCUUGAGCUCCGCCUUCGAGACGUUCGCCCUCCCGGGGUGCAGCACGUCAAUGACAAACUGCUUGCGGGAGAGGAGGCGGUUGGUCAUGAAUUUGCGAGUGCG
This 594-nucleotide unclassified non-coding RNA is filed under the name Hevea brasiliensis (rubber tree). Lineage: Eukaryota; Viridiplantae; Streptophyta; Magnoliopsida; Malpighiales; Euphorbiaceae. The record is from RNAcentral.